UACGCAGGGGGCUAGCGUUGUUCGGAAUUACUGGGCGUAAAGCGCACGUAGGCGGUCUAUUAAGUCAGGGGGGAAAUCCCGGGGCUCAACCCCGGAACUGCCUUUGAUACUGGUAGUCUCGAGUCCGGAAGAGGUGAGUGGAAUUCCGAGUGUAGAGGUGAAAUUCGUAGAUAUUCGGAGGAACACCAGUGGCGAAGGCGGCUCACUGGUCCGGUACUGACGCUGAGGUGCGAAAGCGUGGGGAGCAAACAGG
This 253-nucleotide ribosomal RNA is filed under the name uncultured bacterium. Its description in RNAcentral is "partial 16S ribosomal RNA". It matches the Rfam family "Bacterial small subunit ribosomal RNA", at positions 524 to 776 of the family's 1533-position model. The record is from RNAcentral.